UAGCUUUUAUUUUAAUGCUGCAGUUUUUUGUGGCCUUUUAUGAUAAAAGCAACAAACAAUUAGGUGGUUAUUUUUAGUAAUGAACUGUGAUUCUUGAACUAAGGAGUUUUAGAAUGUAUGCAGUGCCUGCGUUUCAGUUUCUCUUUAAAACAUCAGAGAGGUUAGACCAGAGGGGAUCUGACCAUUCCGGCAAUCAUUUUGAUCCUUGAAGAAUUGAGACAUGGGCUGUAUCUGAUUUCUUUCUAAUGAAGUAAGAAGACUCUGAGAGCAAGACCCUCAGGUCAUAAAUUCUUCAGCUGAAAUACCAAGAGCCUUUACAGAAUACUUCGUGCUUGUCAUCAUUCUAUACUAGUGGAUGAGGAUAGUGAGGUACAAGUUUCCCACCCUACUACUGUACGUCCUGGGAAAGUCUUGUUUCUUCGGCCUAAAAGAACAUCAUAUUUGCUACAAAUUGCUUUAGAAGUGCUGCAAAACAUGUUCCUGUCAAGUGCAUCUCUGGACAUCGUAGCAGGAAGAUGAAGUGCUGCAAAGCAUGAUGUUCCUGUUAACUGCAUCUCUGGAAAUCAAAGCAGGAAGAAGUGCUGCAAACCUGUUUGUAAACUGAAACCGUCAACUGCACAUUUGGACAUCGUAGCAGGAAGACUUGAAGUGCUGCAAAGCAUGGUGUUCCUGUCAACUGCAUCUCUGGAAAUCAAAGCAGGAAGACAAAUUUCCAAGUUCUACAAAAAACAGCAGCUAACACUACCACUGCCCGAGAUGAACAUUUCAGCUAAAACACCAUCUUCUACGAUCAUUGAAUGAAAUAAUUAUGAAGCAUAUGCUAACAAACUUUCUCAAGAGCUGUUAAACCAAGACUUCACAGAUGUAUUUCACCUUUGCCUGU
Long non-coding RNA from Macrobrachium nipponense, 883 nucleotides. RefSeq lists it as uncharacterized. The transcript is spliced from 5 exons. The record is from RefSeq and is a predicted model, not a curated record. NCBI's taxonomy places the organism in Eukaryota, Metazoa, Arthropoda, Malacostraca, Decapoda, Palaemonidae.